Molecule: long non-coding RNA, 1623 nt
Organism: Lolium perenne
Lineage: Eukaryota; Viridiplantae; Streptophyta; Magnoliopsida; Poales; Poaceae
Source: RefSeq, a predicted model, not a curated record
ACCUGCAGGGGUGGAGGAGACGGGAAGAGGAGGCCAGUUGCUGGAAAGAUCAAGCAGGGAGGAGGAGAUUGGGAUCGAGAUGACCCAUUUGAGGCUGUACCCAGUGAACAGAGCGGCGGCAGUCAACGGCGAGCUCCGGACAGGCAGAAACCAUGCUUGAGAGGAAGAUUGAGCUCCAGGCCCCAUAUGCGAGUGAACCUCCCACACAUUAUUUUCCUCUGCCACUAUGGUUAUAAUGGUUCUUAGUGUGUUUACUGCGGUGGAAGCUGAUGAACUGCGACGGUGGGAUAGCUGCUGCAUUGAGAUAAUUGAUGGAAAGGAGCUACUGAAUGAGAAGAAAACAGGGAAUGGUUACACGAAAGGAUAUGUACUACUGAGAAUGUAGGUGUUGUUUCCUGACAAAGAGUGUUUCGCCUCUUCGUUCGUCAAACCUUGUUAAACCUCGGCGCUGACAUGUAGGCCACACUAUCCAUAUCCUUGAACAAAUGAACAUAUGUAUAAUAUAAUUAAUGACCUUGUGAAUCAAUCUUUAUUUUGUGGCAUUAAAAUUUAUUUGAAUUUCCAGUUUAUUUCAGUGACAUCCUCUUCUCUCAUAAAUUCCAAUACACAAAAAACCCACUCACCAUAUUAUGAGUUGUAUUAGCUGGUACUCCUUUUUGUAUACAAGUUGAUUGUUCCAUCAUGGUUUCAUGAACACGAUUUACAAAAUAUGUGAUAAUUGGCUGGGUAUGUGGACCUUUUCUACAAUAUAUGUUUUUGCUCGGUGUCUUUUGUGCAAGUUGUGCUUAUCUGAAUUUUGUGCAAAGUCAAAAUUUUAAUCCUAAUGUUGUUGUCAGUGUUGCAUAGAUAACUUGCUCUUUAUGACGUUCUUUUGUAGAUUGGCGAGCUUUAGAAUGAAUGCAUGUAAAGCUAAACAGACUUGGGCGUUAGGGAGAGAAAUUAAAUUGACUUGGGUGUUGUCAGUGAUUAAAGAUGAAUAGACGAGCAUGCCACUUUCAGAUGUGUACAUUCUGUGCAAAUAUCUUGGUAUGUGUUGGUGACGGUGCUCGAGGACAGGCGGCUCCCCGGAAGGAGGUUGCGGCUUCGUGCAACCAUCUAGCAGCGGAUAAGGUCAUGCUUUCAUUCAUGCUGCUGCGAAGAACUCGGGGAAGGAUACAUGGACGGAGGACGACACACUAGCUGGUCAGAGGUGGUCCUUACCGUACAUUAAAUUAUACAUGGGAGUGCAAGGGAAUUACUCAUUUCUUUUACUUAGACGUAAUAAAUUUUAGGACAAAUUCAGGUGUCGCCCUAUAAGGGGAAUUGAUAAGCACCUUCUAGAUGGCCUUUGGAAUUUGAGAGUAAACAACAAGAUAUCAUUGAGAUUUGCCACGCUUUCAGUAUUUCCUUGCUCCACAGGACAUGCUUUUUCUUGCUAUUAAAAGGAUAAUAAGCUGACUCCGUUUACAUGGAAGUCAAGCUUGGGCUAUCGUUCCUUAGAGAUACUUACUCUAGGGAAGGCACUCCCAGAAAUGUGAUCAUAAUUAGGCUCAGUUCUUCCCCGGUUGUGAAGUGAUAACGCACCAAUGGCAUGUAUUCCUUUUACAUAACCUUGAUGAGAAGGAGAAACACAAGUAUAAGUGA